CGGGGCUGCACAGAUGCGGGACCUGAGGGGCUGCGGAGCCUGCUACCCCUGGCACACGAGAAGCCCUGGGCCCCCAAGCAGCCCAAGCAAGCCUGCUGCCAUGGCCAGCGGACCUGAAGGUGAUGAGUGGCUGGUGGAGGACGCUGGGUUGUGCCUUCCAAGAAGAGUGUCCACCUCCUGUGCUCCAGACCCCGCUUGGCUGGGACUCAGCAGUGAAGGCGAGGCGGCUGCAGGCUAGCGGGAGGCAGGGGAGUCAGCUGAGGCACCUCCCCGAGGCCAGCGGCUCACCUGCACCCCAUCAUGGGCAAAGAAGGCCUUGGUGUCCGCCUCGGUGGCGAGGUGCAGACAGGUGGUCCUGCUCCAGCAGCGGUUCCGGCGCACCAGCAGGGUGAAGGCGUGGUCUUCGCUGUUGCUGUAGCACUCAGAGAAGAGGUCUGCCCGCGGGCACUGGCCGCUGCUUUGUGUGCCCGUGCCAGCCCCACUCCCUCCUCCUCUGCCCCGGGUCAGGCCCUGUAGGACCUGCUACUCUGCCCCAUGCCCACCUUCCAGGGGGCCCGAGAGGCCUGGGAGGAGCCAGCCAGGUGAGUGUCAUGUCCCUGCCUGGCCUGCCCAUGGCCACUUCCGCCCCCAUCAGGACCACGGGAGCCUCAGUCACCCCGAUCAUCCCCGCCCGUGCAGGGCCCAGUGUACACCCGAGGUGUGGGGCUGCCCUCAUCCUCGUGGACUUGUCUGCCCCUCUGUUAGGAUUUUAGGGCUCAUCCCCCCACUGGGAGGAGCCACUGGCCCGCUGAAGCCACUGCAGACCCCACUGCACCAGUCAGCCUGACCGCCUGGCUGAUCACUCACCGAGGGCCAGCUGCUCAUAUCUGGCCUCGCACGUGCGGCCCCUCUCGGCAGCCGUCUCCAGGUGGGACAUCUCCUUGAGGAUCUUGCAGGCGGCCAGAGCGGCGGCCACGCCCUCCUGGCCCUAGGACAGCGGUUCUGAGAAGCUUGCUCCCCCCCUGCCGCCCACGUGGCCUCUGUGCUGCUCACCAUGGCCCAGAAGUAGCUGGCCAUCUCAUGGCGGCUCUGCAGCACGGCCCACAGGAACAGGUCCCUCCAGGGGGCCUCGCUCCUCUCGUCCAGGUCCAGCAGCUGUCUCCGGCCCUCGGGCUGCUUGGCCGGCCCGCUCUCCUGGAGGACAGGGUGUCAGCCUCCAGCUGCGGCCAUCCCCUGCUCUCCCAGCCCGCCGCUCACCGCCUGGUAGAGCCCGUGGCAGGCGUCCUGCAGGAAGUCCUUGAGCACACGGGAGACCUCGAGCAGGGAGAAGGCGGGUGGCUCCCGGGCCUGUGGGGUAGCCAGGCCGGCCAGCACCAGCCGGCCCCCCUGGCGUUUGUGCUGCAGCAGCCCGAAGAGCAGGCCCUGGGGGGUCGUUGAGAGGUACAGCUGCUGCAGCCGCCGGUACGUCAGGAAGGCCGCCACGUUGGCGCCGUUGUCCACAAAGAGACGCACGAACUCCGGCUUGUUGCUCACCAGUGCAUCCAUCAGCACCUCCUCCAGGUCAUGGGCCUAGGGCGGCCACAGGGACCGACCAGGAGAAGAGAAGGGAAGCAGGAUUCAGGAUGCGCCAGCUGGCUGGGCGGGCGGGCGGGCCACCUUCCACUCCACGUCCCCGCCGAAGAUCUCACUCUCGGCGAUGUCCACGCGGCCCCAGGCCAUGGCCAGCCUGAGCUCGUCUAGUGAGAAUGUGCACUGAGGGACAGCCAUGAAGGGAGACAGCCCAGGUGCCCAUCCACAGAGGCACAGAACACCGUGGGCACAGGGCAGCCACGAGCAGGGCAGAGGCUUGCACUCCCACACGGUGGCCCUCAGCAGCAUCCGGUCAGUGAGAGAAGCCAGAUACCAAAGGCCACCGACUCUAGUCACAGGAAAUCCCCCCAGCUGGCAGAUCCUCAGGGCAGGCUGGCGGCUGGCGGCUGGCGGGGGCUGGGGGAGGGGGGAAUGAAUGGGCGCCGGGUCUCCUUGAGGGGUGAUGACAGCGUUCUGGAGUUAAAGUGCUGCUUGCAGGGCCUUGUGACUGUACUGAAACCACUGAAUUCAACACUUUAAAUGGUUUUUCAAACUGGUUAAAUGUAUCUAACCUAAAACUUCUAGUAUCUGGACCGUCUGCUCACAGAGGCCGUAGCGCUCUCCCACCAUAUGUGCGCUGCUAAAGUGAGCAUGGAGCCCUACACAUGUGCUCACACCCACGCGGCGGAGUCCUGUCCUGGGCUUCCUGGCCCCUGACAUCCUGCCUGGGUGGUGGUCCUGCCCCAGGUGCAGGACCCUGGAGGCUGAGACCCAGGCUGGGCAGGGCUUGGAAAGAGCCUCAAUGCAGGCCCAGAGCCCUGGGUGGCCACCCUGCCUUGCCUGGUGCCCUCGGCAGGUCUCCCUGCGGGUGUGCGGCAAGGCCCUCACCUUUCACCAGCGCCUUGAGGAUGACGGCCUCCAGCUCCUCGGAGCUGUCCUGUUCGAAGUCGUGUACGCUGGGUCCAGUACAUGAUGUCCUCCCAGGAGAAGUGCUGGCUGGGGAACUUCUCUUUAAACUGCCUUUCAGCCACUUGGGGCACCAGGAAGUGGGGCUGGCUCAUCAGGGCAGCGAGCACAUCGGCGAUGCCCCCCGA
Manis javanica (Malayan pangolin) is the source of this 2642-nucleotide long non-coding RNA. RefSeq lists it as uncharacterized. Lineage: Eukaryota; Metazoa; Chordata; Mammalia; Pholidota; Manidae. The record is from RefSeq and is a predicted model, not a curated record.